RNAcentral lists this ribosomal RNA (667 nucleotides) under Rhizobium sp. LR50. Its description in RNAcentral is "bacterial SSU rRNA". It matches the Rfam family "Bacterial small subunit ribosomal RNA", at positions 129 to 830 of the family's 1533-position model. Lineage: Bacteria; Pseudomonadati; Pseudomonadota; Alphaproteobacteria; Hyphomicrobiales; Rhizobiaceae. The record is from RNAcentral.
GUGUUUCCUGCGGAAUAGCUCCGGGAAACUGGAAUUAAUACCGCAUACGCCCUACGGGGGAAAGAUUUAUCGGGGAAGGAUUGGCCCGCGUUGGAUUAGCUAGUUGGUGGGGUAAAGGCCUACCAAGGCGACGAUCCAUAGCUGGUCUGAGAGGAUGAUCAGCCACAUUGGGACUGAGACACGGCCCAAACUCCUACGGGAGGCAGCAGUGGGGAAUAUUGGACAAUGGGCGCAAGCCUGAUCCAGCCAUGCCGCGUGAGUGAUGAAGGCCUUAGGGUUGUAAAGCUCUUUCACCGGAGAAGAUAAUGACGGUAUCCGGAGAAGAAGCCCCGGCUAACUUCGUGCCAGCAGCCGCGGUAAUACGAAGGGGGCUAGCGUUGUUCGGAAUUACUGGGCGUAAAGCGCACGUAGGCGGAUAUUUAAGUCAGGGGUGAAAUCCCAGAGCUCAACUCUGGAACUGCCUUUGAUACUGGGUAUCUUGAGUAUGGAAGAGGUAAGUGUAAUUCCGAGUGUAGAGGUGAAAUUCGUAGAUAUUCGGAGGAACACCAGUGGCGAACGCGGCUUACUGCUCCAUUACUGACGCUGAGGUGCGAAAGCGUGGGGAGCAAACAGGAUUAGAUAUCCUGGUAGUCCACGCCGCAAACGAAGAAUGUUAUCCGUCAGGGGG